Molecule: ribosomal RNA, 384 nt
Filed under: uncultured bacterium
Lineage: Bacteria
Description: bacterial SSU rRNA
Rfam family: Bacterial small subunit ribosomal RNA
Source: RNAcentral
AUUGAACGCUGGCGGCAUGCCUUACACAUGCAAGUCGAACGGCAGCACGGGAGCAAUCCUGGUGGCGAGUGGCGAACGGGUGAGUAAUAUAUCGGAACGUGCCCAGUCGUGGGGAUAACGUAGCGAAAGCUACGCUAAUACCGCAUACGAUCUAUGGAUGAAAGCGGGGGAUCGCAAGACCUCGCGCGAUUGGAGCGGCCGAUAUCAGAUUAGGUAGUUGGUGAGGUAAAGGCUCGCCAAGCCGACGAUCUGUAGCUGGUCUGAGAGGACGACCAGCCACACUGGGACUGAGACACGGCCCAGACUCCUACGGGAGGCAGCAGUGGGGAAUUUUGGACAAUGGGCGCGAAGCCUGAUCCAGCAAUGCCGCGUGCAGGAUGAAGG